RNAcentral lists this long non-coding RNA (345 nucleotides) under Homo sapiens (human). RNAcentral's name for it is "HSALNT0106179". The record is from RNAcentral. Lineage: Eukaryota; Metazoa; Chordata; Mammalia; Primates; Hominidae.
ACCUGACUGAGCAGCUGCCCAUGAAAUAUGGUAUUCACCACCUUUAAGACCUGUUUGGUGAGCUUCCUCUGGGAGAAGGGGAUGAGGAUCCGGCGUGUGGUGCCCUCAGACUCGAGUUCCUGCUGCACCUUGUGCAGCAGCUCGCAGAGAAAUUCCUGCGCGUCCUGUUGGUCGUAGCCGCGGAAGGCAGGGAUCAGGCUCCACACUGAGUGGAGCAUGGCGAAGGGCGACACUAGGGCCCACUUCCCGGACCACAUGACUCGGAAGAGGGAACAUUCUCGGAACUUCUGGAGGUGGCUGAGCACCUGGAGGAUGGAGUUCAUGUAGCAGGUGUUGCCCAGGUUG